Molecule: ribosomal RNA, 303 nt
Filed under: uncultured bacterium
Lineage: Bacteria
Description: partial 16S ribosomal RNA
Rfam family: Bacterial small subunit ribosomal RNA
Source: RNAcentral
AGCAGUAGCCACGGGAAUACGAAGGGUGCAAGCGUUAAUCGGAAUUACUGGGCGUAAAGCGUGCGUAGGCGGUUUGUUAAGUCUGCUGUGAAAUCCCCGGGCUCAACCUGGGAAUGGCAGUGGAUACUGGCAAGCUAGAGUGUGUCAGAGGAUGGUGGAAUUCCCGGUGUAGCGGUGAAAUGCGCAGAGAUCGGGAGGAACAUCAGUGGCGAAGGCGGCCAUCUGGGACAACACUGACGCUGAGGCACGAAAGCGUGGGGAGCAAACAGGAUUAGAUACCCCUGUAGUCCCUGUCUCUUAUAC